GCCGCCUGCCGCGGGGGGAGCCGGCCCCGCGGAGCGCCGCUCCGUGCCUGGGCUCACCCGGGGGGCCGCGGGUCUCUCGGGGUCCGGCAGGCUCCGCACGAGAGCUCGGCGUUUUUGGGGGGGGGGGUGUCACCACGGUGCCGCGCCGCCCGCCUGGGCUGCGCGCGCGGCUCUUGGUCGUGCGGCGCUUGGCGUUGUUCGGCUCACGCACGUGUCCGUCUUUAUUAGUCCUCUGUCGCAGGCACCUCGCUUGGUGAGAUCUGCCGUCGUGAUCUUUGUAUCUGAUCGUUGCAUCUGCCUCGAAGAAAUCCCGGCGGCCGUUUCAGCGCGUCGGCACCCCUUCCCUCAGGGGCUGCGCGGGGCAGGUCUCUGUCCGCGCCCUUUCCCAGCCCCAUGGAUUCCUUUGCUCCCGGCUCCAGGACUGGUUGAUGAGGGAUGCUGGACACAGUGACGGAUUACGGUAUUUCUUUUCACUGCCUUAACAGUCCUGUAUACAGUCUCUGGCAAUAGCCACAUUCUCCUCAGCAGGCCGCUCCAUAUUCAGCCAUCAGGCUUGUGUAGUCGAGCAGAUUCAUCAAGCUGGCGGUGUAAUGAUCGAGCUUGUCCCACUCCCACAGUGUCAGAACACCUCAUGGUUGGCUCGGUGAAUCCAUCUUUGCAGCACUCCUAAGAAAUGGUUGUGAAGUCCUGGGGACCCUGAGGAGAGUUCACCAGCUGGAAAAUCUUUUGGACCGAGUUCCUUUAGCAUCGGAGGUGAACAGCUAAUCCAGGUGCCAGAAUACAG
Molecule: long non-coding RNA, 784 nt
Filed under: Apteryx rowi (Okarito brown kiwi)
Lineage: Eukaryota; Metazoa; Chordata; Aves; Apterygiformes; Apterygidae
Description: lncRNA (ENSARWG00000012903.1)
Source: RNAcentral